RNAcentral lists this small RNA (311 nucleotides) under Histoplasma capsulatum var. duboisii H88. RNAcentral describes it as "Histoplasma capsulatum H88 hypothetical RNA". Lineage: Eukaryota; Fungi; Ascomycota; Eurotiomycetes; Onygenales; Ajellomycetaceae. The record is from RNAcentral.
UAACAUUUACCAAAGAAUCAAAUCUCUCCCCCUCGCCCCUUUCAUAUCUCCCAUUCUACAUCCUACUGUAGAUACGUGCAGAUAGAGACUGUAUGUCUUUUUUUGGUUUUGUUUUUGAGGGAAGGGGGGUGCCUGGAAGACUGUCUCUUUGACUUUGCUCUCAUCCCCUCUAGGACUUUAUAUCAUUGGCACGGGAAUUCCCUCCGAUCGUUUUUGUUGAAGCUUCUAUGUACCGUACGGAGCACGGAGUCCACUGUUGUUUAUAACUACAGUAAAGAAAGUAUAAAAGAAAAAUCUCACCGGCCAAAAGU